Molecule: long non-coding RNA, 2141 nt
Organism: Homo sapiens (human)
Lineage: Eukaryota; Metazoa; Chordata; Mammalia; Primates; Hominidae
Source: Ensembl
AUCUCGCCUCACUGUAGCCGCCACCUCCUGGGCUCAAGUGAUUCUCUUUUCAGCCUCUCAAGUAACUGGGAUUACAGGCACCUGCCACCACACCCGGUAAAUUUUUGUGUUUUUAGUAGAGACGAGGUUUCACCAUGUUGGGAAGGCUGGUCUCAAAUUCCUUACCUCAAAUGAUCCACCUGCCUCAGCCUCCCAGAGUGCUGGGAUUGCAGGCGUGAGCCACCGUGCCUGGGCUAAUUUCCAUUUUCAUUUCAAACAUGCACUCCUAUGGAAAGAAAAAUUACAUGAAGCUUCCUGAGGCCUCCCUAGAAGAUGAGCAGAUGCCAGCACCAAGCUUCCUGUACAGCCUACAGAACGACAGCCGCAUCUUCUCUCACAUCGCCAGCCACAUCCCUGAGACACCAUGGUGAAGGUGAAGGUCAGGGUCAGUGGAUUUGGUCGUAUUGGGCGCCUGGUCAGCAGGGCUAUUUUAACUCUGGUAAAGUGGAUAUUAUCACCAUCAGUGACCCCUUCAUUGAUCUCAAGUACAUGGUCUACAUGUUCCUGUAUGAUUCCACCCAUGGCAAAUUCCAUGGCACCAUCAAGGCUGAGAACGGGAAACUUGUCAUCAAUGGAAAUCCCAUCACCAUCUUCCAGGAGCGAGAUCCCUCCAAAAUCAAAUGGGGCACUGCUGGUGCUGAGUACAUCGUGGAGCCCACCGGCACCUUUACCACCAUGGAGAAGACUGGGGCUCACUUGCAGGGAGGAGCCAAAAGGGUCAUCAUCUCUGCCCCCUCUGCUGAUGCCUCCGUGUUCAUAAUGGGUGUGAACAAUGAGAAGUAUGACAACAGCCUCAAGAUCAUCAGCAAUGCCUCCUGUACCACCAACUGCUUAGCGCCCCGGGCCAAGGUCCUCCAUGACAACUUUGGUAUCGUGAAAGGACUCAUGACCACAGUCCAUGCCAUCACCGCCACCCAGAAGACUGUGGAUGGCCCCUCCAGGAAACUGUGGCAUGACGGUGGUGGGACUCUCCAGAACAUCAUCCCUGCCUCUACUGGCACUGCCAAGGCUGUGGGCAAGGUCAUCCCUGAGCUGAACGGGAAGCUCACUGGCAUGGCCUUCUGUGUCCCCACUGCCAAUGUGUCAGUCGUGGACCUGAUCUACCAUCUGGAAAAACCUACCAAAUAUCAUGGCAUCAAGAAGGUGGUGAAGGAGGCAUCAGAGGGCUCCCUCUAGGGCAUCCUGGGCUACAACACCGAGCACCAGGUUGUCUCCUUCGACUUCAACAGCGACAUCCAUUCUUCCACCUUUGAUGUUGGGGCUGGCAUUGCCCUCAACAACCACUGUGUCAAGCUCAUUUCCUGGUAUGAGAAUGAAUUUGGCUACAGCAACAGGGUGGUGGACGUCAUGGCCCACAAGUCCUCCAAGGAGUAAGACCCCUGAACCACCAGCCCCAGUGACAGCACAAGAGGAAAAGAGAGGCCCUCACUGCUGGGGAGUCCCUGCCACACUCAGUCCCCUGCCACAAUGAGAAUCUCCCCUCCUCACAGUUUCCAUGCAGACCCCCUGAAGAGGGAGUGGCCUAGGGAGCCCCACCUUGUCUUGUACCAUCAACAAAGUCCCCUGUGCUCAGCCAAAAAAAUAAAUACAUAAAAUUUUUUUCUAUAAAGUUUCUAUGGAUUAAUGAUCAAUUCUUAAAUAUUCUAGUUUUGACUGGAAUUUGGAAUAAUAUUUUAUUAUUAUUCCUAGUUUGUAUUGUCAGUGUAGAAGAUAUCAAGAUUUCUUAAGUUGUUCUUAUCUAAAAAUUUUGUUCAAUUCUCUUACUAGUUCUAAUAGUUGGAAGCUUUUUUGGACAGAUGAUUAUAUUAUCUGCAAAUAAUAACAGUUUUAUCUCCUUUCAAGUCUUACCUCUCCUACUUAUUCUUUUUUCCUUAUAGAAUUGGUCACAAGCUUACAGACAAAUGUUAAUUAAUAGGAGUGAUGAUGGGCAUCUUUACAUCAUUUACAAUUUCAGAGAAAAUAUUAAAAAUGCCCCUAAUCUGUGUAACGUUUAACAUCACUUUUAGAGUAGACAACUUUAACAAGUUGAAGAAGUUCCUUUCUAUUUCCAGUUAACAAGUUUUAUUAUACAUAUGUGUUGAAUUGAUCAAGAAGUUUUUCUG